This 260-nucleotide unclassified non-coding RNA is filed under the name Basidiomycota sp. Its description in RNAcentral is "partial contains small subunit ribosomal RNA, internal transcribed spacer 1, and 5.8S ribosomal RNA". The stretch from base 1 to 47 matches the Rfam family "Eukaryotic small subunit ribosomal RNA", at positions 1785 to 1831 of the family's 1831-position model. The record is from RNAcentral. Lineage: Eukaryota; Fungi; Basidiomycota.
AAAGUCGUAACAAGGUUUCCGUAGGUGAACCUGCGGAAGGAUCAUUAUUGAUUUCAAAUGAGAUGUGCUGGUCUUUUAAAAUGGGCAAUGUGCACUCUCAACCCUUUACAUCCACCUGUGCACUUUUCGUAGGCAACAAAAAGGAACUUGUAAUGGGUUCCUGCCUAUGUUUUUAAUACACAAUAUUUAUUAUGGAUUGUAGUGUGGCCCUUCAAGCCAAUAAAACUAUACAACUUUCAACAAUGGAUCUCUUGGUUCUC